Long non-coding RNA from Sycon ciliatum, 2135 nucleotides. RefSeq lists it as uncharacterized. The transcript has 3 exons. Lineage: Eukaryota; Metazoa; Porifera; Calcarea; Leucosolenida; Sycettidae. The record is from RefSeq and is a predicted model, not a curated record.
GAGCAGUGCGUAUCUGUACCCGGCGGUAUCUGCCUACACGGCUAGUACUGUAGUACUAGUAGAUCUACAGGCACCUAGUACCUGGCCAGGCCCAAGGCCCAAGCCCAAGGCUCAAAUCGAGUUAGGUCUCAUGAGUCAUGAAGAAUUACUAGAACAAGGCCCAGGGUUCUGUUUAUUUAUGCUUUAUUUUUACUCAAUCUGCGGACAGCAUGCUGUUUCGUUCUCACGGUGAACAGUUUAUUUUUAAAUGUUGAAAGAGCGUCUGUUCAUGGCGCUAUGUAGCAUGGGACGGCCUGUGCCGGUCACACGCAUCAGCGACUCACUGUGCAUGCGGAGGAUGCGGAGUGCGGAGCCACUGAGUCGUUGCUUGGACGGCCGACUCGAACGUUGGCACGGGUACGGGUGAAGAGUUCAGUUCGACGCUCUGGCGGAAAAUCCACACAACGAGCACAACACAACCGGAACCCUGGGGAGUGGCCGUGCUCCUGAUCAAUGUCAAAAGCCUGUGUUUCGGCUACAGUUCCAUGAACCGGAAAAAGAGCAAUGGGAGAUGUAUCCGUGUCUAGCGAUGUAUUGCGGACGACUCAGUGAAGCGAUGUGUGAAAGCCGAGCAUAGGAGUAGCUUUGCGGCAGGUUGCAUGCGGGAAGGCAUCGUGCUGUAAACUCCAUCCUGACACCUAGUCUGUCUCCACUCUGACCUGUCCUCUGCCGUGUCAAGCCACUCUCAUCCAGGCUAAUGGACACCACGGCCACCACAGCCACGCCAUGCUUGGCUUGACCAAGUCAUUCCACCUCUUCCUGGGACCAUGCAGAGACCGCUUAGUCAGCAAGGCGCCAUAGAGCAGUCGGCGGGAAUGUGAUCUCCUAUGCGAGUCAUAUGACCCAGCCAUUGGAAGUGACGGCGCCAAAUCUUGUCAGAUCUGCUCUGUGUAGACCUGAACAGUGUUUGCCGCUCCACGGAAAGAUGAAUUGUAAAAACCGGCAGCGCUGCGAAACAAGCGGUGGCAGGCAUCACAGCAACGGGCGCCGGGCUGGUCCUGCAAUGGGCAAUGACUGUACAGCUGAGAACUUGAAAACCAAGAACAGCGAAUGAGCGGUUGUAAACCUUGCGGGUAGCGGUUGUAAACCUUGCGGAUAACUCUGUUGUUGGUGCGCUCCACGGGAUCAUCCGGAGUAUAAGCAAUCGCCUCACGCUGGGGUUAUGUACUCUUUAUGUGCCGGAUUGACCUCAGCCACACGUAUGUCACCAGGCCAACAGAUCUCCUCGCUCCGGUAUUUAGACGCAUCGUUCUAAUGACACGUUUCCUGUUGCUUUGCGCUUUCAAACCACCGUUAAGUGUCCAUACAAGAUGUUCAUAUGCCGUGUGAUGGACUGGCGCAGAACCAAGCUCGGUAUCACUGGAUCAGCAAUGCGAAACGACACGUACUCGAGCAGUAUCCUGACAAUGUACUCAAUGCUCUUCACAGCUACUCAUGAUUGAUUUGGUAUCGGCCAGGAGAUUUAGUAAUGUGAGAAAAUGGACUUGACAAGUUCACGUGUCCAAAUGCUAUAAUAUCACUAAAGUGAACCCUGCGGAAGGGAUUACUCUAGCUGCAGGCAAACAGUGAUUGGGACCGACCUGCACUGACAGUACAUCAAUGAAGUUCCGGCAUGUUGAUACAAUACGGUCUUAAUGAAGUUUCGGCAUGUUGAAACAAUACGGUCUUCUAAUGAUAGUAAUACAUACCGAGGGUAAGUCAGCCGAGGCGAUCCUGGACAAUGAAAUUCUAAUGUUCAAUUAUCUAUAAACUAUAAUGAUGAACCUCUGCUGGCUAGGUGCAAUGCAUCAUCAUCUUACUUUUCAAGUGCUUGCACCUUGGAUUACUCUCGCGUGGUAGCGGCUGCUGUGACUUCCUUCAAAGCGAGGGUUUUCCCCGGCUGUCUCGGUCCAGAAAAACUAAUCUUGACAUUCCCAAGACUAUCCUGGCCUAUUUGAUUUUCUGUUGUUUGAUUUUCUGUUAGCCGAGCAUAUCCAUUCUUUACUCCAGAGACUCUAUCCCCCUGCUGUAGCUCCUAGUUUCCUUCUGCAAUUUAGUUCACAUCUGGCUGCGGCCUACUGCCCUGUGGCCGCUUUUUUUGUUUGUGUGCUCCUCCU